AGAAUCAACGCUGGCGGCGUGCCUAACACAUGCAAGUCGAACGCGAAAGUCUCCUUCGGGAGAUGAGUAGAGUGGCGUACGGGUGAGUAACACGUGGGUAAUCUGCCUCGAGGUGGGGAAUAACGGCCCGAAAGGGUCGCUAAUACCGCAUAACGCAGCGGCACCGCAUGGUGACAGUUGUUAAAGGGGGGGAUCUCGCAAGAGACCUCUCGCCGCGAGAGGAGCCCGCGCCCGAUUAGCUUGUUGGCGAGGUAAGAGCUCACCAAGGCGACGAUCGGUAGCCGGCCUGAGAGGGCGGUCGGCCACGACUGGCACGUGAGACACGGGCCAGACUCCUACGGGAGGCAGCAGUGGGAAUUUUGGGCAAUGGGCGAAAGCCUGACCCAGCAACGCCGCGUGGAGGACGAAAUCCCUUCGGGAUGUAAACUCCGAAAGUCGAGGAAGAAAUCCGUAGUGGGAAUAUACCAUACGGAUGACGUACCUGA
Molecule: ribosomal RNA, 485 nt
Filed under: uncultured soil bacterium
Lineage: Bacteria
Description: bacterial SSU rRNA
Rfam family: Bacterial small subunit ribosomal RNA
Source: RNAcentral